This 468-nucleotide ribosomal RNA is filed under the name uncultured bacterium. RNAcentral describes it as "bacterial SSU rRNA". It matches the Rfam family "Bacterial small subunit ribosomal RNA", at positions 335 to 795 of the family's 1533-position model. The record is from RNAcentral.
ACUCCUACGGGAGGCAGCAGUGGGGAAUUUUGGACAAUGGGCGAAAGCCUGAUCCAGCAAUGCCGCGUGUGUGAAGAAGGCCUUCGGGUUGUAAAGCACUUUUGUCCGGAAAGAAAUCUGUCUGGCUAAUACCCGGACGGGAUGACGGUACCGGAAGAAUAAGCACCGGCUAACUACGUGCCAGCAGCCGCGGUAAUACGUAGGGUGCGAGCGUUAAUCGGAAUUACUGGGCGUAAAGCGUGCGCAGGCGGUUUUGUAAGACCGAUGUGAAAUCCCCGGGCUUAACCUGGGAACUGCAUUGGUGACUGCAAGGCUAGAGUGCGUCAGAGGGGGGUGGAAUUCCGCGUGUAGCAGUGAAAUGCGUAGAGAUGCGGAGGAACACCGAUGGCGAAGGCAGCCCCCUGGGAUGACACUGACGCUCAUGCACGAAAGCGUGGGGAGCAAACAGGAUUAGAUACCCUGGUAGUC